CGUGCCUAAUACAUGCAAGUCGAACGCAUUGUGGUUGAAAUGAUAUGAAGAACUUGUUCAGAUUUGAUUUUCAACAUUGCAAUGAGUGGCGAACGGGUGAGUAACACGUGGGAAACCUACCUCUUAGCAGGGGAUAACAUUUGGAAACAAAUGCUAAUACCGUAUAAUAAUUAAAACCGCAUGGUUUUAGUUUAAAAGAUGGUCUUGCUAUCACUAAGAGAUGGUCCCGCGGUGUAUUAGUUAGUUGGUGAGGUAAUGGCUCACCAAGACAAUGAUACAUAGCCGAGUUGAGAGACUGACCGGCCACAAUGGGACUGAGACACGGCCCAUACUCCUACGGGAGGCAGCAGUAGGGAAUCUUCCACAAUGGACGAAAGUCUGAUGGAGCAACGCCGCGUGUGUGAUGAAGGGUUUCGGCUCGCAAAACACUGUUGUAAGAGAAGAAUGACAUUGAGAGUAACUGUUCAAUGUGUGACGGUAUCUUACCAGAAAGGAACGGCUAAAUACGUG
RNAcentral lists this ribosomal RNA (510 nucleotides) under uncultured bacterium. RNAcentral describes it as "bacterial SSU rRNA". It matches the Rfam family "Bacterial small subunit ribosomal RNA", at positions 43 to 507 of the family's 1533-position model. The record is from RNAcentral.